UUCUUCUCCUCUCGUCCCCUUCUUCGGGCUAAAUUGGAUAAGAAUGCCUUUUUGGAGCUAAUUAUGUCAUUUCGAGGAUAAUUAGCUAAGUAUAGGUCAUUUUUUAUUAAAUAGGUCAUUUAGGAGCUAACUAUGCUAAUUAUGUCAUUUAGAUGGAUAAUUAGCCAAUUUAGGCUUUCUUGGAUGAGUCUAAGCUACGUAGAAGAUGAGAAAGAGAAGAAGAAGUAAAAGAAGGAGGAGGAGGAGGAGGAGGAGGAGUAGAAGGAGAAGGAAGAGGAGAAGA
RNAcentral lists this long non-coding RNA (283 nucleotides) under Hordeum vulgare. RNAcentral's name for it is "long non-coding RNA (HVUL_LNC012813)". The record is from RNAcentral. Lineage: Eukaryota; Viridiplantae; Streptophyta; Magnoliopsida; Poales; Poaceae.